UGAUUGAGUUAUUUUGCUAGUGACUGACUCAUUGAAAAAUAGUUUACUUUAAAAAUCUAGUAUUUAGUUUAAUAUGGAAACUUCUCUUGUUAACAAUGGCCUCAUCUUUCCUUAGAUGAAGAUGAGGAAAGUGAGGAAUCAAGUGAAGAAGAAUCUAGCUUGGAGAGUGAUGAGGAUGAGUCUGGAUCUGAAGAUGAGGUUUUUGAUGAUUCUAUUUGCCCAUCAAAUUGUGAUGUGACUCUUUUUGGGCUGGCCCUUCAACUUCGAGAGAAAAGGCUGGACAUUGAGGAGGCUUUAGUUGAAGAAAAGAAAAUUGUUGAUAACCUCAAAAAGGAAUAUGAGACAUUGUCAAAAAAAGUAGGCUUAUUUAUCCUCUCAAAAUGCUAUACAUUCUCCUCGCUAUAAUAUUGCCAUUUCAUAGCAAUGACAAUGUGAGGACUUCUCAGAAAAAAACAUUUCAAAUGUUAAG
This 469-nucleotide long non-coding RNA is filed under the name Aotus nancymaae (Ma's night monkey). RNAcentral describes it as "lncRNA (ENSANAG00000039256.1)". Lineage: Eukaryota; Metazoa; Chordata; Mammalia; Primates; Aotidae. The record is from RNAcentral.